CCCCGCUGUUCCUAAAAGAAAGAUUAAGGAUUUGAGUUGGCCUGACGGAGAGAUCUUCCAGGCGACUCCGGCCCAUGGAGGAUGCAGAGCAUCACAUCAGAUCAAACAUUGAUAAACCAGUACUUUACCAGCGUUUUAUCAAUAUCUUUAAAGGACGGGGAGUUUUUGCCACUGAAUUCAUAUCCAAAGGAGACUUUGUUGUGGAGUACCGAGGUGAACUGCUUACACAACAGGAGGGCGAGGUCCGAGCUGAUCAGUACAAUGAUUCUGCAAAGGUGUUUCUUUUCCAUUUCCAAUGGAAAGGA
Molecule: long non-coding RNA, 305 nt
Organism: Salvelinus namaycush (lake trout)
Lineage: Eukaryota; Metazoa; Chordata; Actinopteri; Salmoniformes; Salmonidae
Exons: 3
Source: RefSeq, a predicted model, not a curated record